RNAcentral lists this transfer RNA (72 nucleotides) under Pangasius djambal. RNAcentral's name for it is "tRNA-Glu". Lineage: Eukaryota; Metazoa; Chordata; Actinopteri; Siluriformes; Pangasiidae. The record is from RNAcentral.
UCCCUGGAGGACUAGUGGUUAGGCCACGGUGCUCUCACCACCGCAGCCCAGCUUCGAUUCCCAGCCAGGGAA